UCCAUCCUACGGGGGGCAGCAGUGGGGAAUAUUGCACAAUGGGGGAAACCCUGAUGCAGCGACGCCGCGUGAGUGAAGAAGUAUUUCGGUAUGUAAGGCUCUAUCAGCAGGGAAGAAAAUGACGGUACCUGACUAAGAAGCCCCGGCUAACUACGUGCCAGCAGCCGCGGUAAUACGUAGGGGGCAAGCGUUAUCCGGAUUUACUGGGUGUAAAGGGAGCGUAGACGGCGCGGCAAGUCUGAAGUGAAAGGCAGGGGCUUACCCCCUGACCUGCUUUGGAAACUGCCAUGCU
Molecule: ribosomal RNA, 292 nt
Filed under: uncultured bacterium
Lineage: Bacteria
Description: partial 16S ribosomal RNA
Rfam family: Bacterial small subunit ribosomal RNA
Source: RNAcentral